This is a non-coding RNA of Canis lupus familiaris (dog), 95 nucleotides long. The record is from Rfam. NCBI's taxonomy places the organism in Eukaryota, Metazoa, Chordata, Mammalia, Carnivora, Canidae.
AGGAGGAACAGCCCCAGUGGCAGGGCCAGCUCUGGAAACCUGGAUUCAGCUCCGGCAGGAACUCCGUCUGCAGGGCCUGGAGGCUCCGGGGCGGG